This 73-nucleotide transfer RNA is filed under the name Phrynocephalus theobaldi orientalis. RNAcentral's name for it is "tRNA-Trp". RNAcentral also lists the same sequence under 1 other name. The record is from RNAcentral. Lineage: Eukaryota; Metazoa; Chordata; Lepidosauria; Squamata; Agamidae.
AGAAGCUUAGGAUUAAGCUUAUCAAACCAGUGGCCUUCAACACCACAAACAAGGGAUAAACCCUUAGCUUCUG